This 510-nucleotide ribosomal RNA is filed under the name uncultured bacterium. RNAcentral's name for it is "partial 16S ribosomal RNA". It matches the Rfam family "Bacterial small subunit ribosomal RNA", at positions 28 to 507 of the family's 1533-position model. The record is from RNAcentral.
GACGAACGCUGGCGGCGUGCUUAACACAUGCAAGUCGAACGAAGAGCGAUGGAAGCUUGCUUCUAUCAAUCUUAGUGGCGAACGGGUGAGUAACGCGUAAUCAACCUGCCCUUCAGAGGGGGACAACAGCGGGAAACGACUGCUCAUACCGCAUACGAUCUAACCUCGGCAUCGAGGAAAGAUGAAAGGUGGCCUCUAUGUAUAAGCUAUCACUGUAGGAGGGGAUUGCGUCUGAUUAGCUAGUUGGAGGGGUAACGGCCCACCAAGGCGAUGAUCAGUAGCCUGUCUGAGAGGAUGAACGGCCACAUUGGGACUGAGACACGGCCCAGACUCCUACGGGAGGCAGCAGUGGGGAAACUUCCGCAAUGGACGAAAGUCUGACGGAGCAACGCCGCGGGAGUGAUGACGGCCUUCGGGUUGUAAAGCUCUGUUAAUCGGGACGAAAGGCCUUCUUGCGAAUAGUGAGAAGGAUUGACGGUACCGGAAUAGAAAGCCACGGCUAACUACGUG